UAUCAAACCUGCCUCAUACUCGGGGAUAGCCUUGCGAAAGUAAGAUUAAUACCCGAUGUAGUUAUGUUACCGCAUGGUGAUAUAACCAACGGAUCGUCGGUAUGAGAUGGUGAUGCGUCCGAUUAGGUAGUAGGCGGGGUAACGGACCACCUAGCCAUCGAUCGGUAGGGGUUCUGAGAGGAAGGUCCCCCACACUGGAACUGAGACACGGUCCAGACUCCUACGGGAGGCAGCAGUGAGGAAUAUUGGUCAAUGGACGGAAGUCUGAACCAGCCAAGUAGCGUGCAGGAUGACGGCCCUCUGGGUUGUAAACUGCUUUUAGUUGGGAAUACAAAAGAGGACGUGUCCUCUAUUGUAUGUACCUUCAGAAAAAGGACCGGCUAAUUCCGUGCCAGCAGCCGCGGUAAUACGGAAGGUCCAGGCGUUAUCCGGAUUUAUUGGGUUUAAAGGGAGCGUAGGCGGAUUACUAAGUCAGUGGUGAAAGACGGUGGCUCAACCAUCGUUAGCCAUUGAAACUGGUAGUCUCGAGUGCAGACAGGGAUGCUGGAACUCGUGGUGUAGCGGUGAAAUGCUUAGAUAUCACGAUGAACUCCAAUCGCGAAGGCAGGUGUCCGGGCUGCAACUGACGCUGAGGCUCGAAAGUGUGGGUAUCAAACAGGAUUAGAUACCCUGGUAGUCCACACAGUAAACGAUGUAUAC
This 699-nucleotide ribosomal RNA is filed under the name uncultured Prevotellaceae bacterium. RNAcentral describes it as "bacterial SSU rRNA". It matches the Rfam family "Bacterial small subunit ribosomal RNA", at positions 118 to 816 of the family's 1533-position model. Lineage: Bacteria; Pseudomonadati; Bacteroidota; Bacteroidia; Bacteroidales; Prevotellaceae. The record is from RNAcentral.